UUACAAAUAGCUUAUAUAAAGUGUAGUGCUGAAGAUACUAAGAAAUUUUUUUUGUAAA
This 58-nucleotide transfer RNA is filed under the name Planorbis carinatus. RNAcentral's name for it is "tRNA-Phe". The record is from RNAcentral. Lineage: Eukaryota; Metazoa; Mollusca; Gastropoda; Planorbidae.